UACGAAGGGGGCUAGCGUUGCUCGGAAUCACUGGGCGUAAAGCGCACGUAGGCGGAUUGUUAAGUCAGGGGUGAAAUCCUGGAGCUCAACUCCAGAACUGCCUUUGAUACUGGCGAUCUUGAGUCCGGGAGAGGUGAGUGGAACUGCGAGUGUAGAGGUGAAAUUCGUAGAUAUUCGCAAGAACACCAGUGGCGAAGGCGGCUCACUGGCCCGGUACUGACGCUGAUGCACGAAAGCUAGGGGAGCAAACAGG
This 253-nucleotide ribosomal RNA is filed under the name uncultured bacterium. Its description in RNAcentral is "partial 16S ribosomal RNA". It matches the Rfam family "Bacterial small subunit ribosomal RNA", at positions 524 to 776 of the family's 1533-position model. The record is from RNAcentral.